RNAcentral lists this ribosomal RNA (401 nucleotides) under uncultured bacterium. Its description in RNAcentral is "partial 16S ribosomal RNA". It matches the Rfam family "Bacterial small subunit ribosomal RNA", at positions 401 to 818 of the family's 1533-position model. The record is from RNAcentral.
UGAGGAUGACGGCCUAYGGGUUGUAAACCKCUUUUUUCAGGGARGAAUAAAUGRCGUGUACCUGAAGAAUAAGSRUCGGCUAACUCCGUGCCAGCAGCCGCGGUAAGACGGAGGAUGCAAGUGUUAUCCGGAAUCACUGGGCGUAAAGCGUCUGUAGGUGGUUUAAKAAGUCAACUGUUAAAUCUUAABGCUCAACCUUGAAAUCGCMGUCGAAACUAUUAGACUAGAGUAUAGUAGGGGUAAAAGGAAUUUCCAAGUGGAGCGGUGAAAUGCGUAGAUAUGUGGGAAAGAACACCGAUGAGGCACUUUACUGGGCUAUUACUAACACUCAUAGACGAAAGCUAGGGUAGCMAAUGGGAUUAGAUACCCCAGUAGUCCUAGCCGUAAACCAAUGGAUACUA